This 67-nucleotide transfer RNA is filed under the name bovine gut metagenome. It matches the Rfam family "tRNA". From Rfam's summary of the family: Transfer RNA (tRNA) molecules are approximately 80 nucleotides in length. Their secondary structure includes four short double-helical elements and three loops (D, anti-codon, and T loops). Further hydrogen bonds mediate the characteristic L-shaped molecular structure. tRNAs have two regions of fundamental functional importance: the anti-codon, which is responsible for specific mRNA codon recognition, and the 3' end, to which the tRNAs corresponding amino acid is attached (by aminoacyl-tRNA synthetases). tRNAs cope with the degeneracy of the genetic code in two manners: having more than one tRNA (with a specific anti-codon) for a particular amino acid; and 'wobble' base-pairing, i.e. permitting non-standard base-pairing at the 3rd anti-codon position. The record is from RNAcentral.
GUUGUAGCUCAGCAGGAUAGAGCGAUCGCCUCCUAAGCGAUAGGUCGGAGGUUCGAAUCCCCUCAGC